AUCUGACCUCGAAUCAGGUGGGACUACCCGCUGAACUUAAGCAU
Molecule: ribosomal RNA, 44 nt
Filed under: Bryoclavula phycophila
Lineage: Eukaryota; Fungi; Basidiomycota; Agaricomycetes; Cantharellales; Hydnaceae
Description: partial 28S ribosomal RNA
Source: RNAcentral